AUUCUUUAAUAGCCGCAAAUAUUCUGUGCUAAGGUAGCAUAAUCAUUUGUUUUUUAAUUAAAAACUAGAAUGAAAGGUUUAACGUUUUAAUUUCUUUUUUAUUUGUACUUAUUUAAAUUUUACUAAAUAUAAAAAUAUAUUUAUAUAUAUAAUAGACGACAAGACCCUAUUGAACUUAACUUAAGUUAAGCUGGGGCAGCUUAUUAAUAUAAAUUUUAAUAAAAUUUAUUAAAUAAAUUAUCCAAUAUAUUUGAUUAAUUAAUCAAGUUACCAUAGGGAUAACAGCGUUAUAUUAAUUUAAAGCUCAUAUUAAAAUUAAUGAUUGCGACCUCGAUGUUGAAUUAUAAUUUCUAUAUUAACGCAAUAGUUAUAUAAGUAGGUCUGUUCGACCUUUAAUAUUUUACAUGAUCU
This 411-nucleotide ribosomal RNA is filed under the name Cryptachaea riparia. RNAcentral's name for it is "partial 16S ribosomal RNA". The stretch from base 155 to 411 matches the Rfam family "Archaeal large subunit ribosomal RNA", at positions 2159 to 2677 of the family's 2987-position model. The record is from RNAcentral. Lineage: Eukaryota; Metazoa; Arthropoda; Arachnida; Araneae; Theridiidae.